This 825-nucleotide ribosomal RNA is filed under the name uncultured bacterium. RNAcentral's name for it is "bacterial SSU rRNA". It matches the Rfam family "Bacterial small subunit ribosomal RNA", at positions 60 to 879 of the family's 1533-position model. The record is from RNAcentral.
AGUCGAACGGCAGCAUAGGAGCUUGCUCCUGAUGGCGAGCGGCGAACGGGUGAGUAAUAUAUCGGAACGUGCCCUAGAGUGGGGGAUAACUAGUCGAAAGACUAGCUAAUACCGCAUACGAUCUACGGAUGAAAGUGGGGGAUCGCAAGACCUCAUGCUCAUGGAGUGGCCGAUAUCUGAUUAGCUAGUUGGUGAGGUAAAGGCUCACCAAGGCGACGAUCAGUAGCUGGUCUGAGAGGACGACCAGCCACACUGGAACUGAGACACGGUCCAGACUCCUACGGGAGGCAGCAGUGGGGAAUUUUGGACAAUGGGGGCAACCCUGAUCCAGCAAUGCCGCGUGAGUGAAGAAGGCCUUCGGGUUGUAAAGCUCUUUUGUCAGGGAAGAAACGGUGGUCUCUAAUAUAGGCUGCUAAUGACGGUACCUGAAGAAUAAGCACCGGCUAACUACGUGCCAGCAGCCGCGGUAAUACGUAGGGUGCAAGCGUUAAUCGGAAUUACUGGGCGUAAAGCGUGCGCAGGCGGUUAUAUAAGUCAGAUGUGAAAUCCCCGGGCUCAACCUGGGAACUGCAUUUGAGACUGUAUGGCUAGAGUGUGUCAGAGGGGGGUAGAAUUCCACGUGUAGCAGUGAAAUGCGUAGAUAUGUGGAGGAAUACCGAUGGCGAAGGCAGCCCCCUGGGAUAACACUGACGCUCAUGCACGAAAGCGUGGGGAGCAAACAGGAUUAGAUACCCUGGUAGUCCACGCCCUAAACGAUGUCUACUAGUUGUCGGGUCUUAAUUGACUUGGUAACGCAGCUAACGCGUGAAGUAGACCGCCUGGGGA